RNAcentral lists this ribosomal RNA (253 nucleotides) under uncultured bacterium. RNAcentral's name for it is "partial 16S ribosomal RNA". It matches the Rfam family "Bacterial small subunit ribosomal RNA", at positions 524 to 776 of the family's 1533-position model. The record is from RNAcentral.
UACGUAGGGUGCGAGCGUUGUCCGGAAUCACUGGGCGUAAAGCGCACGUAGGCGGCUUGCUAAGUCAGGGGUGAAAUCCUGGAGCUCAACUCCAGAACUGCCUUUGAUACUGGCGAUCUCGAGUCCGGGAGAGGUGAGUGGAACUGCGAGUGUAGAGGUGAAAUUCGUAGAUAUUCGCAAGAACACCAGUGGCGAAGGCGGCUCACUGGCCCGGUACUGACGCUGAGGUGCGAAAGCGUGGGGAGCAAACAGG